Molecule: ribosomal RNA, 465 nt
Filed under: Vreelandella stevensii
Lineage: Bacteria; Pseudomonadati; Pseudomonadota; Gammaproteobacteria; Oceanospirillales; Halomonadaceae
Description: partial 16S ribosomal RNA
Rfam family: Bacterial small subunit ribosomal RNA
Source: RNAcentral
CCUACGGGUGGCAGCAGUGGGGAAUAUUGGACAAUGGGCGAAAGCCUGAUCCAGCCAUGCCGCGUGUGUGAAGAAGGCCUUCGGGUUGUAAAGCACUUUCAGUGGGGAAGAAAGCCUUGGGGCUAAUACCCUCGAGGAAGGACAUCACCCACAGAAGAAGCACCGGCUAACUCCGUGCCAGCAGCCGCGGUAAUACGGAGGGUGCGAGCGUUAAUCGGAAUUACUGGGCGUAAAGCGCGCGUAGGCGGUCUGAUAAGCCGGUUGUGAAAGCCCCGGGCUCAACCUGGGAACGGCAUCCGGAACUGUCAGGCUAGAGUGCAGGAGAGGAAGGUAGAAUUCCCGGUGUAGCGGUGAAAUGCGUAGAGAUCGGGAGGAAUACCAGUGGCGAAGGCGGCCUUCUGGACUGACACUGACGCUGAGGUGCGAAAGCGUGGGUAGCAAACAGGAUAAGAUACCCUUGUAGUC